RNAcentral lists this ribosomal RNA (209 nucleotides) under uncultured bacterium. Its description in RNAcentral is "partial 16S ribosomal RNA". It matches the Rfam family "Bacterial small subunit ribosomal RNA", at positions 568 to 774 of the family's 1533-position model. The record is from RNAcentral.
UGCGUAGGUGGUUGGUUAAGUUUGAGGUGAAAGCUCCGAGCUCAACUCGGAAAAUGCCUUGAAGACUAUCUGACUAGAGGAUUGGAGGGGAGAUUGGAAUUCUCGGUGUAGCAGUGAAAUGCGUAGAUAUCGAGAGGAACACCAGUGGCGAAGGCGAAUCUCUGGACAAUUCCUGACACUGAGGCACGAAAGCCGAAGGGGAGCAAACG